UAAAUUAGAGACUAAGUUAUAAAAUUGGACUAAAUAAAUUUGAAUAAAUAAAGUUUGGGGUCUAAACGAAAGAAAACAGAAAUUUAAGGGCCUAAUACGAAAAACAGAAGAUUAGGGGCCUAAUCUGAAGUUACAGAAAAUUAAGGGCUUAAUACGAAAAAAAAAUAAAAUUAGGGAUCUAAUAUGAAAUUUUCCAGGGACCUAACUGUUAUUUUCCAUCCCUAACCUAAAAAACAAAACGAUAAGGGACGGAAAAUAACAGGUUCCAGCCCCUUUCCGCCGCCAACAAUGGAGGUUUUUUUUUUUUUUUUUAACAAGAUCCGGCCACCAAAAAAACAACAAAAUACCAAACGAACAAUUAAUCGUCAAUGGCGUUAGUUCAAAACCUCUUACCUGUUCUUGGGAAUCCG
Molecule: long non-coding RNA, 410 nt
Filed under: Jatropha curcas
Lineage: Eukaryota; Viridiplantae; Streptophyta; Magnoliopsida; Malpighiales; Euphorbiaceae
Description: long non-coding RNA (JCUR_LNC000251)
Source: RNAcentral